RNAcentral lists this ribosomal RNA (502 nucleotides) under uncultured bacterium. Its description in RNAcentral is "bacterial SSU rRNA". It matches the Rfam family "Bacterial small subunit ribosomal RNA", at positions 30 to 504 of the family's 1533-position model. The record is from RNAcentral.
UGAACGCUGGCGGCGUGCCUAACACAUGCAAGUCGUACGAGAAAUCUUUUGUUCGCAGAAGAGAGUAAAGUGGCGCACGGGUGAGUAACGCGUGGAUAAUCUGCCUCUGAAUCGGGGAUAACGUUACGAAAGUGACGCUAAUACCGGAUAAUAUCUAGGAUGCUUCGGUUUUUUAGAUCAAAGGGGGCCACUACAUGUAAGCUUCUGUUUAGAGAUGAGUCCGCGUGCCAUUAGCUUGUUGGUAGGGUAACGGCCUACCAAGGCUGCGAUGGCUAGCUGGUCUGAGAGGAUGAUCAGCCACACUGGAACUGAGACACGGUCCAGACUCCUACGGGAGGCAGCAGUGAGGAAUCUUGCGCAAUGGGGGAAACCCUGACGCAGCAACGCCGCGUGAGUGAAGAAGGCUUUCGGGUCGUAAAGCUCUGUCAAGUGGGAAGAACCUGUCCUAUGUUAAUACCAUGGGGCACUGACGGUACCAUUGAAGGAAGCACCGGCUAACUCC